RNAcentral lists this non-coding RNA (90 nucleotides) under Cellulomonas sp. Its description in RNAcentral is "ZTP sequence". It matches the Rfam family "ZMP/ZTP riboswitch aptamer (pfl RNA motif)". Rfam says of the family: Previously known as pfl RNA. Lineage: Bacteria; Bacillati; Actinomycetota; Actinomycetes; Micrococcales; Cellulomonadaceae. RNAcentral also lists the same sequence under 1 other name. The record is from RNAcentral.
GACCACGGUCGUGACUGGCGAGGGUGGAGGACCACCGGGGAGCGACCGAGCACCGCCCUGCCGAGUGCACCGCCCGCCUGGGUGCCGGGG